RNAcentral lists this ribosomal RNA (464 nucleotides) under uncultured archaeon. RNAcentral describes it as "bacterial SSU rRNA". It matches the Rfam family "Archaeal small subunit ribosomal RNA", at positions 19 to 458 of the family's 1478-position model. The record is from RNAcentral.
GGACCCUACUGCUAUCGGGAUAAGACUAAAACAUGCUAGUUGUGCGCACCCAAGCUAUGUUGGGAGCGCAGCGAACGGCUCCGUAACACGUAGUCAAUCUAACCUUAGGACGGGAAUAACCCCGGGAAACUGGGGCUAAUACCUGAUAGGCGAAAAAGUCUGGAAUGACUUUUCACUGAAAGAGUCUUAGGAACAUGCUCCUUUUACUGCCUAAGGAUGAGACUGCGACCGAUCAGGUUGUUGGUGGGGUAACGGCCUACCAAGCCUAUAACCGGUACGGGCCCUGAGAGGGGGAGCCCGGAGAUGGGAACUGAGACAAGGUCCCAGACCCUACGGGGUGCAGCAGUUGCGAAAACUCUACAAUACACGAAAGUGUGAUAGGGUUAUCCCGAGUGCCGUCCGAUGAGGAUGGCUUUUACUUGGUGUAAGGAGCCAGGGGAAUAAAGGGGGGGCAAGACUGGUGU